UUCGAGAAAUGCGGGUUGUAGUUGAUGAAGGUGAAGCCGCGCGCCUGAUCGAUGAUGUGAAACAGCGGGUUCCAGCUGAACAUCACCAGCAUCUUGUGCGGCAGCGUAUUGGCCAGGAACAUCUUGCCCGAGGCGAUCAUGUUCACCCGG
This 150-nucleotide non-coding RNA is filed under the name Rhodobacter capsulatus SB 1003. RNAcentral's name for it is "Ruegeria cis2 sRNA". It matches the Rfam family "Ruegeria cis2 sRNA". Rfam says of the family: Cis-encoded. Lineage: Bacteria; Pseudomonadati; Pseudomonadota; Alphaproteobacteria; Rhodobacterales. The record is from Rfam by way of RNAcentral.